GAUACAGAAAUAGCAAGAGUUACAUCUAACAGGUUUAUCUCACAUCGCUCAGUUGUGAAAAAGUAUGCAACAGAAGUAUAAUUGAUCAAGGAAGCAAACAGGUGAUUGAUCAAUUUGGGAAACAUAAAGUGGUCCUCUACCAAAUAUAAGUAAAAUUAACACUUUGAUGAUUAGUUUAGUUGAUUUUCCCUGUGUUUGCAAAUGACAAGUUUCAUGAGAGUAAAUGAUGAUUCCUUCCAUUUUUAGGUACACAACUGACAUAUUUAGAAAGAUGGACAGGUUAUACAUCCCUUCUACUGCUAUGCUGUCAUAUUCUGAUUGCAUGAACAUUUGAAAAUUGAAAGUUUUGACAGAUUAUAUAGAUUUUCCUUUUCAUGGUAUGACAUCUCAAAAAAGAAAGAAUUAGCAUGUUAUUAGCAGUUGUGUCAUUCUCACCAAAGAAAUAGAAGAUGGGUG
Molecule: unclassified non-coding RNA, 456 nt
Filed under: Hevea brasiliensis (rubber tree)
Lineage: Eukaryota; Viridiplantae; Streptophyta; Magnoliopsida; Malpighiales; Euphorbiaceae
Source: RNAcentral